GAUCAUGGCUCAGGACGAACGCUGGCGGCGCGCCUAACACAUGCAAGUCGAACGAGCGAGAGAGAGCUUGCUUUCUCGAGCGAGUGGCGAACGGGUGAGUAACGCGUGAGGAACCUGCCUCAAAGGAGGGGGACAACAGUUGGAAACGACUGCUAAUACCGCAUAAGCCCACGACCCGGCAUCGGGUAGAGGGAAAAGGAGCAAUCCGCUUUGAGAUGGCCUCGCGUCCGAUUAGCUAGUUGG
Molecule: ribosomal RNA, 243 nt
Filed under: uncultured bacterium
Lineage: Bacteria
Description: partial 16S ribosomal RNA
Rfam family: Bacterial small subunit ribosomal RNA
Source: RNAcentral